RNAcentral lists this ribosomal RNA (484 nucleotides) under uncultured Chloroflexota bacterium. Its description in RNAcentral is "bacterial SSU rRNA". It matches the Rfam family "Bacterial small subunit ribosomal RNA", at positions 887 to 1382 of the family's 1533-position model. The record is from RNAcentral. Lineage: Bacteria; Bacillati; Chloroflexota.
GCCCGCUCAGAAACUUAAAGGAAUUGACGGGGGCCCGCACAAGCAGCGGAGCGUGUGGUUUAAUUCGAUGAUACGCGAAGAACCUCACCCAGGUUUGACAUGCAUGUGGUACUGAUGUGAAAGCUGAGGGACCCUUCGGGGAGCAUGCACAGGUGUUGCACGGCCGUCGUCAGCUCGUGCCGUGAGGUGUUGGGUUAAGUCCCGCAACGAGCGCAACCCCUGUCGCCAGUUGUAUUUUUCUGGCGAGACUGCCGAGAAAACCUCGGAGGAAGGAGGGGACGAUGUCAGGUCAGCGUGGCCCUUACGCCUGGGGCUACACACACGCUACAAUGGGCAGUACAACGGGUCGCUAAGCCGCGAGGCGGAGCCAAUCCCAUCAAAGCUGUCCUCAGUUCGGAUUGCAGGCUGAAACCCGCCUGCAUGAAGCCGGAGUUGCUAGUAACCGCAGGUCAGCAUUACUGCGGUGAAUACGUUCCCGGGCCUU